AACGCACCUUGCGCUCCUUGGCAUUCCGAGGAGCAUGCCUGUUUGAGUGUCAUGAAUUCAUCAACCCCGAAGGGAUUUUUGUCCUUCUCGGUGGCUUGGACUUGGGGGAUCCUUUGCUGGCCUUCACCGGUCGGCUCCCCUUGAAUGCAUUAGCUUGGACUUGUCCCGGCGACGUCAUAGCGUGAUAACUAUCUACGCCUCAUGACCGAUGCUCUUGUUCUGCUUCUAACCGUCCAUUGACUUGGACAGCUCUUUUGACAAUUUGACCUCAAAUCAGGUAGGACUACCCGCUGAACUUAA
RNAcentral lists this ribosomal RNA (300 nucleotides) under uncultured fungus. RNAcentral's name for it is "eukaryotic LSU rRNA". The stretch from base 1 to 52 matches the Rfam family "5.8S ribosomal RNA", at positions 103 to 154 of the family's 154-position model. The record is from RNAcentral. Lineage: Eukaryota; Fungi.